ACAGAUACACCCUAAAUAUGUAAGACUCCUAUACCAUGAAAGAUGCUUCCAUUGCAGAUAGCACAUUAGGAUUACUCACAUAUGCAACUCAUAUGAUGUUUCAGUGGUAGAAGGUGCAGCAUGGCAGCAGCAGAUGUUAAAUUGAGAAUCGUGAAGAGACAGUUUAAUUCUUUAGAGAAUAAAUAAGAUUAUGGUUUAUAGAUUAAGAUUAUAGGAAUCUCUAAUGUUCAAAAUAUCAGAUGAGAAUUUGCCAAGUGCUCUCAAUAUGUCUACAAUGAUAUAACAAUCAUAAUUAAGCCAAAAGAUCAGUUGUUGGUUGUAAUUAAUGCCAGCUCUAAAUAAGAUCUUAAAAUAGAAACUAUCUUCAAAUUUGACAAGUUACCAUAUCUACAUAUGAAUAAAUUAGAAUAGUCGGUAAAUAUUCUGUAUUUUCCUUUUUGCAUCAUCUUUUGAGUAACCAAAUCAGAACACCCAAUUUGGUGAAAUACUUUUUCCUGUUAUAUCUGUCAUUGCUUUUGUAAGAUAAAAACAAAAAUGUAUAUGCAGUUUUGUUAAAUAUAUUUAAAUUCAAAAUUCAAAAAAAAAAUCAAUUUCAAAUUAACACAAACAAAAUUGACUUUAACUUAUGGUUUAGUUCAUGCACCCUUUAAUGUAUAUCUUAAAAGUUUUGUUGUGGACUAAGCAAAUAUCAAAUUAUCAUUUCAGAAGUACAUUUUGUUUGCAUGGUAUCAUCUUCACUAACAUUUAACAUAGUGGGUUUCGGAGUUACUGAGGUAGUUCUUAUUGAGGUGUUUCUUGUUUUUUUCUGUGGAGGAAUCAGUGGUUUCUAGUCUUCAGGAUAUGGUUUUGUCAUUCAAAGGGAACUGUCAAUGUAAUUCUGAAAUGAUAUACAUUUGGUAUUUUAUUGUCAUUGAAAAAGAAACAAUAUUAGUGCAUGAACAUUUGAACUGUGAAUAUAUAAUAUUUAAACUUUAUAAUUUAUAAUUUUUAAAUCGAUUUUGGAAAGUUAUUGUAUCAAAAUUAAAUUGUAUUUGACACAGUUUGAUGGAUGGAAAUUGAAAAUUAGAAAAACUUAAUUUAUGUUCUAAAUUUAAGCACUAGUGAAAACAAAAUUCCAAAUAUAAAUUUCUGCUUCAUUAAAACAUUUUGUUAAAUGGAUCUGCAAAAUCACUGAUAGCUAACACGGUUAAUCCACUUAAUUAGGUAGUGUCAUUAAGUAUAGUCUAAAGGAUCCUAUUAAAAGUAUUGAUGUAUUAUAAAUCAUAUUCCUAAAUCUAACAUGUCAGAUGCGAGAAACCCCCCCUUUGUUAUAGAGGGAUCGCCCUAGCAUCAGUGUCUUACAAAUUGUACUGUAAUAUACUGAACUAUAGAUUAGCUCAGUGGGUAGAUGAUAACAAUGUACUGGUUGAGGAACAGAAUGGUUUACCGCAACUUUGUAGUACAAUAGACCAAUUAUCUACUCUUACUAAUUUGAUAGAUGUGAGAAAAACACUUCCUAAAUCAAUCUUUUGCGCCUUUAUUGAUUUUAAAAAGGCUUACGACACUUCAAAGAGAUAUUUCAUGGUAUAAACUAAAUAAAAUUGGUGUUGCACAGACUUUUGUUCUGCUAUUAAGUCAAUUUAUACCAAUGUUCUGUAAGAAUAAACGGUCAUUUCACAGACUGGUUUGAUGUAAACACUGGCUUGAAACAAGGAUGUACCUUGUCGCUCAUUUUGUUCAACUUGUAUAUUAAUGAUUACCAUUUCUUAAGUCCUUUGACUGCGGAAUAGAAAUUGGUGAUGAAAAACUGUAUUUUAUUAUAUGCUGAUGAUGUUAUUAUAGCAAACGAUGAAAAAGAGCUACAACUUUUGGUAAAUGCUUUUUCUACAUGAUUUGAAGACAAUUGUAUGACAAUUAAUACAAACAAGAGUAACAUUGUACAAUUUAGUCCACCAUCUAUACCUAGAUAUGAUGUAAUUUUUAAUUGUAAUGGUCAUACUAUAAAGUCUUCUAGUAAUGAUACUUGGUCUCGUUUUAAACAAGCAUUUAGACUAUAAUAUCACUGCAAAAGCCGUUGCAUCUUCAGGGAAUAGAGCUUUAGAGAUGGUAAUAGCCAAGUGUAAACUUUUAGGGGGUGUUUGUUUCGAUGUAUUUGUAAAAUUAUAUGAAAGUUUGGUUUGUCCUAUAAUAGAAUAUGAAAAGGUAUAUGGGGUGUGAAAAGAUAUUCUUGUAUAAAUUCCAUACAUAAUGGGGCCUAUAGAUUUUCUAGAAGUAGAAAAAUAUGCACCAAAUGCUGCAGUUACUGGAGACUUGGGUAUUAUUGUAUUAUACGUUGAUAAUUUUAUUUUAUAUUGCAUUUGAUUUGUCAAUACACACAUGUUUUAUGGUGUAGGUCAGAGCACCUGACCCUGGAGACGGGAUUGCGCACUUGGCAUCCACUGACACAGGUUUCUAGAGCUUUUUGAUCGAUUAUAUCGUUUUUUAUCUCUAGUUGUUCCUGGCCGGCCUUGACUGUCUAUGAAGGGGUGCAUUUAGUCAAAAGUUUGUUUUGGUGUAUUUAGGAAAAUCAUGGAAGUAUUAUAUUUUACUUCCAUGGGAUAAUAUAUACAUAGGAAUUGUAUGAUUUUGAAUUAUAUAUGCAUUGCAAUAAUAAUGAUUUAUUGAAUUUGUGAAUAUUUAUAAUACAAUCUGGCGUCCAUCGAGCAUGACGGGCUGUCCGCAAACUAAGAUUAUGUUUGCAUUGUUUAUAUUGGGCACAAGUAUGUAGUUAAUACCACCUAUUUUUGAUAAGCAGUGGAAAAGUAUUAUUCGUUUGUGGUGUAGAUUAAAUCACAUGAGCUAAGGUCGGAUAAAUGCAAAAGUUCAUUAGUGGGCUGAUAGAAUGAUCAUUAAGCAUAAGUGUGCUGAAAACUGGAACUUUUUAGUAAGGAAAACCUUCUCUGAACUGAAUUCAAGUCAUUUAUGGUUUCCUGAAAAUAUGGACACUAAUUAUGUUGUUUGACUGAAAAACUUUUAAUGUCAAAAUGAAUUUCAGUCACAGAAGUGCUUUUCUCAAAUUUAGAUGUGGUGUUGCUCCACUAAGGAUUUAAACUGGGAAAUAUGGAAAUAUUGUUUUAGCUUGUGCCAUAUAUGUUAUAGUUUUAUUGAAGACGAAGCACAAUUAUUGUUUUAUUAAGAUGUCCUCUUUACGAAGAUUUUAGAAACCAUUUAUAUUAUGUUGCUGAAACUUAUAAUGAAAGUUUUAAUACUUUAGAUGAUAACCAAAAGUUUGUGUUUUUAUUCUCAGAUGUAAAUAUGAUACAUGUGUUCCAAAUCUGUUAUUUGAUUUUAAAAAGGCGUUGAAAUUUUAUAUAUGGAAAAUACAUGUAGUACUUUAUUUCAUAUUGUUUAAUGUAUUAUAUCUAUACAUUUUAAUAGUCUUUAUAAUUCUGUAUAGAAUGGCUCAUUUUAUUUAGUGUUGUUUUACAAUGUUGAGAGAUGACACAUUCAUAAAACAUUGAAUUAAUUGAAUUGAGUUUUUUAGUAUUACAAUCAAUAUUUGUGUAUGCCUCGCACAAAAAGGUGCAAGCAGGGCAGUACUGGACAUCUUCAGUUAUCAAGGUUUUUUUUUUAUAACAAACACUGAGAUCUGGUAUCCAGGAAAUAAAAUGAAUCAACAAUACUUUCAUGUAUUUUGUACAAUAAUAUUUUUUUCUAAUUACACCUAACUCAUGAUGCAGAUCUGUCUUCAUCUAAUACUAUGAUGAUGUACUACAGUGGCAUAAAAGUAGUUACGAUAGGUUUAGGAAGUGUUAUUUUGGUAUUUAUCAUGAUGCUUUAGAAUUAAAUUUUCCCAUGUUUCAAGGAUUUACAUUGAAAAAUAAUUUAUAAUCCAACACUUCUGGCCAGCAGUCUGUUUUGAAUAAUAAGGAUUUCUUUAAAACUGUUCAAGUAUACCUCCUUAGACAAUCUUCCUAGCAUUGGGUAUUGGAAUUUUUCAAUUUUUUACCCACUACAUUUUCAGCUUUUAGUUGGUUGUUCCAUGUCGGCGGGGUCGUCGAUGAUAGAAUUUUUGCCAUUAUUUGAUAUUUCACAUAAAAUACAAUGUAAGAGCAUUUCAUCAAUUGCUACGAUUUUGUUUAUGUAUUUAUGCUUAUCCUUGUAUGCAUGUUUAUUGUUUUAAUGAAGAUAAAAUCCGAUGUCCAGGUUAUCGGCAAUAUGAA
Long non-coding RNA from Mytilus californianus (California mussel), 4181 nucleotides. RefSeq lists it as uncharacterized. The transcript is spliced from 2 exons. Lineage: Eukaryota; Metazoa; Mollusca; Bivalvia; Mytilida; Mytilidae. The record is from RefSeq and is a predicted model, not a curated record.